Molecule: ribosomal RNA, 1250 nt
Filed under: Escherichia coli
Lineage: Bacteria; Pseudomonadati; Pseudomonadota; Gammaproteobacteria; Enterobacterales; Enterobacteriaceae
Description: partial 23S ribosomal RNA
Rfam family: Bacterial large subunit ribosomal RNA
Source: RNAcentral
ACUCGGGUGAAGGAACUAGGCAAAAUGGUGCCGUAACUUCGGGAGAAGGCACGCUGAUAUGUAGGUGAAGUCCCUCGCGGAUGGAGCUGAAAUCAGUCGAAGAUACCAGCUGGCUGCAACUGUUUAUUAAAAACACAGCACUGUGCAAACACGAAAGUGGACGUAUACGGUGUGACGCCUGCCCGGUGCCGGAAGGUUAAUUGAUGGGGUCAGCGCAAGCGAAGCUCUUGAUCGAAGCCCCGGUAAACGGCGGCCGUAACUAUAACGGUCCUAAGGUAGCGAAAUUCCUUGUCGGGUAAGUUCCGACCUGCACGAAUGGCGUAAUGAUGGCCAGGCUGUCUCCACCCGAGACUCAGUGAAAUUGAACUCGCUGUGAAGAUGCAGUGUACCCGCGGCAAGACGGAAAGACCCCGUGAACCUUUACUAUAGCUUGACACUGAACAUUGAGCCUUGAUGUGUAGGAUAGGUGGGAGGCUUAGAAGUGUGGACGCCAGUCUGCAUGGAGCCGACCUUGAAAUACCACCCUUUAAUGUUUGAUGUUCUAACGUUGACCCGUAAUCCGGGUUGCGGACAGUGUCUGGUGGGUAGUUUGACUGGGGCGGUCUCCUCCUAAAGAGUAACGGAGGAGCACGAAGGUUGGCUAAUCCUGGUCGGACAUCAGGAGGUUAGUGCAAUGGCAUAAGCCAGCUUGACUGCGAGCGUGACGGCGCGAGCAGGUGCGAAAGCAGGUCAUAGUGAUCCGGUGGUUCUGAAUGGAAGGGCCAUCGCUCAACGGAUAAAAGGUACUCCGGGGAUAACAGGCUGAUACCGCCCAAGAGUUCAUAUCGACGGCGGUGUUUGGCACCUCGAUGUCGGCUCAUCACAUCCUGGGGCUGAAGUAGGUCCCAAGGGUAUGGCUGUUCGCCAUUUAAAGUGGUACGCGAGCUGGGUUUAGAACGUCGUGAGACAGUUCGGUCCCUAUCUGCCGUGGGCGCUGGAGAACUGAGGGGGGCUGCUCCUAGUACGAGAGGACCGGAGUGGACGCAUCACUGGUGUUCGGGUUGUCAUGCCAAUGGCACUGCCCGGUAGCUAAAUGCGGAAGAGAUAAGUGCUGAAAGCAUCUAAGCACGAAACUUGCCCCGAGAUGAGUUCUCCCUGACUCCUUGAGAGUCCUGAAGGAACGUUGAAGACGACGACGUUGAUAGGCCGGGUGUGUAAGCGCAGCGAUGCGUUGAGCUAACCGGUACUAAUGAACCGUGAGGCUUAACCUU